ACACUCCUGCGGGAGGCAGCAGUGGGGAAUUUUGGACAAUGGGGGCAACCCUGAUCCAGCAAUGCCGCGUGAGUGAAGAAGGCCUUCGGGUUGUAAAGCUCUUUUGUCAGGGAAGAAACGGUGGUGGCGAAUAACUACUACUAAUGACGGUACCUGAAGAAUAAGCACCGGCUAACUACGUGCCAGCAGCCGCGGUAAUACGUAGGGUGCAAGCGUUAAUCGGAAUUACUGGGCGUAAAGCGUGCGCAGGCGGUUGUGUAAGUCAGAUGUGAAAUCCCCGGGCUCAACCUGGGAAUUGCAUUUGAGACUGCACGGCUAGAGUGUGUCAGAGGGGGGUAGAAUUCCACGUGUAGCAGUGAAAUGCGUAGAUAUGUGGAGGAAUACCGAUGGCGAAGGCAGCCCCCUGGGAUAACACUGACGCUCAUGCACGAAAGCGUGGGGAGCAAACAGGAUUAGAAACCCCGGUAGUCCCA
This 473-nucleotide ribosomal RNA is filed under the name uncultured organism. RNAcentral describes it as "partial 16S ribosomal RNA". It matches the Rfam family "Bacterial small subunit ribosomal RNA", at positions 333 to 797 of the family's 1533-position model. The record is from RNAcentral.